Molecule: ribosomal RNA, 689 nt
Filed under: uncultured cyanobacterium
Lineage: Bacteria; Bacillati; Cyanobacteriota
Description: bacterial SSU rRNA
Rfam family: Bacterial small subunit ribosomal RNA
Source: RNAcentral
ACGAACCUUCGGGUUAGUGGCGGACGGGUGAGUAACGCGUGAGAAUCUGCCCUCAGGAGGGGGAUAACGGUUGGAAACGACCGCUAAUACCCCAUAUGCCUACUGGUGAAAUGAAUUUCGCCUGAGGAUGAGCUCGCGUCUGAUUAGCUAGUUGGUGAGGUAAUGGCACACCAAGGCUUCGAUCAGUAGCUGGUCUGAGAGGAUGAUCAGCCACACUGGGACUGAGACAUGGCCCAGACUCCUACGGGAGGCAGCAGUGGGGAAUUUUCCGCAAUGGGCGAAAGCCUGACGGAGCAACGCCGCGUGAGGGACGAAGGCCUCUGGGCUGUAAACCUCUUUUCUCAAGGAAGAAGAUAUGACGGUACUUGAGGAAUAAGCCACGGCUAAUUCCGUGCCAGCAGCCGCGGUAAUACGGGAGUGGCAAGCGUUAUCCGGAAUUAUUGGGCGUAAAGCGUCCGCAGGCGGCUUUUCAAGCCUGCUGUUAAAGCGUGGAGCUUAACUCCAUCAUGGCAGUGGAAACUGAAAGGCUCGAGUAUGGUAGGGGCAGAGGGAAUUCCCGGUGUAGCGGUGAAAUGCGUAGAUAUCGGGAAGAACACCAGUGGCGAAGGCGCUCUGCUGGGCCAUUACUGACGCUCAUGGACGAAAGCCAGGGGAGCGAAAGGGAUUAGAUACCCCUGUAGUCCUGGCCG